CAGUAGCCGCGGUAAUACGGAGGGGGCUAGCGUUGUUCGGAAUUACUGGGCGUAAAGCGCACGUAGGCGGCUUGGCAAGUUAGAGGUGAAAGCCCGGAGCUCAACUCCGGAAUUGCCUUUAAGACUGCCGAGCUAGUAGGUGAGGGAGGUAAGUGGAAUUCCGAGUGUAGAGGUGAAAUUCGUAGAUAUUCGGAAGAACACCAGUGGCGAAGGCGGCUUACUGGCUCAUUCUAGACGCUGAGGUGCGAAAGCGUGGGGAGCAAACAGGAUUAGAUACCCCAGUAGUCCCUGUCUCUUAUAC
RNAcentral lists this ribosomal RNA (301 nucleotides) under uncultured bacterium. RNAcentral's name for it is "partial 16S ribosomal RNA". It matches the Rfam family "Bacterial small subunit ribosomal RNA", at positions 509 to 807 of the family's 1533-position model. The record is from RNAcentral.